Molecule: ribosomal RNA, 450 nt
Filed under: uncultured bacterium
Lineage: Bacteria
Description: partial 16S ribosomal RNA
Rfam family: Bacterial small subunit ribosomal RNA
Source: RNAcentral
GUGGGGAAUCUUCCGCAAUGGACGAAAGUCUGACGGAGCAACGCCGCGUGAGUGAAGAAGGUUUUCGGAUCGUAAAGCUCUUUCGUUAGGGACGAACGUGCUCUUUGUGAAUAAUGAGGAGUAAUGACGGUACCUAAAUAAGAAGCCACGGCUAACUACGUGCCAGCAGCCGCGGUAAUACGUAGGUGGCAAGCGUUGUCCGGAAUUAUUGGGCGUAAAGCGCGCGCAGGCGGAAUAUCAAGUCUGUCUUAAAAGUGCGAGGCUCAACCUCGUGAGGGGACAGAAACUGGUAUUCUUGAGUGUCGGAGAGGAAAGUGGAAUUCCAAGUGUAGCGGUGAAAUGCGUAGAGAUUUGGAAGAACACCAGUGGCGAAGGCGACUUUCUGGACGAUGUCUGACGCUGAGGCGCGAAAGCUAGGGGAGCGAACGGGAUUAGAAACCCCGGUAGUCC